This 366-nucleotide unclassified non-coding RNA is filed under the name uncultured Verrucomicrobiae bacterium. RNAcentral describes it as "contains 16S-23S intergenic spacer region". The record is from RNAcentral. Lineage: Bacteria; Pseudomonadati; Verrucomicrobiota; Verrucomicrobiia.
UCCGGGUUGGUCCCGGCGGUCCCGCUAGACACCGUAACUAGCGGCAGGGGUUGCGCUCGUUGCGGGACUUAACCCAACACCUCACGGCACGAGCUGACGACAGCCGUGCAGCACCUGUGCAAGCUCCCCUUGCGGGGUCGUCCCACUUUCAUGGUUCUACCACUUGCAUGUCAAGGCCAGGUAAGGUUCUUCGCGUUGCAUCGAAUUAAGCCACAUACUCCACCGCUUGUGCAGGCCCCCGUCAAUUUCUUUGAGUUUUAAUCUUGCGACCGUACUUCCCAGGCGGUGCACUUAACGCGUUAGCUUCGCCACAAAAGGGGUCGAUUCCUUUUACAGCAAGUGCACACCGUUUACGGCUAGGACUAC